This 500-nucleotide ribosomal RNA is filed under the name uncultured bacterium. RNAcentral's name for it is "partial 16S ribosomal RNA". It matches the Rfam family "Bacterial small subunit ribosomal RNA", at positions 30 to 523 of the family's 1533-position model. The record is from RNAcentral.
AUUGAACGCUGGCGGCAUGCCUUACACAUGCAAGUCGAACGGCAACACGGGAGCAAUCCUGGUGGCGAGUGGCGAACGGGUGAGUAAUGUAUCGGAACGUGCCCAGUCGUGGGGGAUAACGUAGCGAAAGCUACGCUAAUACCGCAUACGAUCUGUGGAUGAAAGCGGGGGACCGUAAGGCCUCGCGCGAUUGGAGCGGCCGAUAUCAGAUUAGGUAGUUGGUGGGGUAAAGGCCUACCAAGCCGACGAUCUGUAGCUGGUCUGAGAGGACGACCAGCCACACUGGGACUGAGACACGGCCCAGACUCCUACGGGAGGCAGCAGUGGGGAAUUUUGGACAAUGGGCGCAAGCCUGAUCCAGCAAUGCCGCGUGCAGGAUGAAGGCCUCCGGGUUGUAAACUGCUUUUGUACGGAGCGAAAAGGCUCUCUCUAAUACAGGGGGCUCAUGACGGUACCGUAAGAAUAAGCACCGGCUAACUACGUGCCAGCCGCCGCAGUAA